RNAcentral lists this ribosomal RNA (432 nucleotides) under uncultured bacterium. Its description in RNAcentral is "partial 16S ribosomal RNA". It matches the Rfam family "Bacterial small subunit ribosomal RNA", at positions 29 to 506 of the family's 1533-position model. The record is from RNAcentral.
AACGAACGCUGGCGGCAUGCCUAACACAUGCAAGUCGAACGAGACCUUCGGGUCUAGUGGCGCACGGGUGCGUAACGCGUGGGAACCUGCCUUUAGGUUCGGAAUAACUCAGAGAAAUUUGAGCUAAUACCGGAUGAUGUCUUCGGACCAAAGAUUUAUCGCCUUUAGAUGGGCCCGCGUUGGAUUAGCUAGUUGGUGGGGUAAAGGCCUACCAAGGCGACGAUCCAUAGCUGGUCUGAGAGGAUGAUCAGCCACACUGGGACUGAGACACGGCCCAGACUCCUACGGGAGGCAGCAGUGGGGAAUAUUGGACAAUGGGCGAAAGCCUGAUCCAGCAAUGCCGCGUGAGUGAUGAAGGCCUUAGGGUUGUAAAGCUCUUUUACCCGAGAUGAUAAUGACAGUAUCGGGAGAAUAAGCGCCGGCUAACUCCGU